AGCGAACGCUGGCGGCAGGCCUAACACAUGCAAGUCGAACGAACCUUUCGGGGUUAGUGGCGGACGGGUGAGUAACACGUGGGAACGUGCCUUUAGGUUCGGAAUAACUCAGGGAAACUUGUGCUAAUACCGAAUGUGCCCUUCGGGGGAAAGAUUUAUCGCCUUUAGAGCGGCCCGCGUCUGAUUAGCUAGUUGGUUGAGGUAAUGGCUCACCAAGGCGACGAUCAGUAGCUGGUCUGAGAGGAUGAUCAGCCACAUUGGGACUGAGACACGGCCCAUACUCCUACGGGAGGCAGCAGUGGGGAAUCUUGCGCAAUGGGCGAAAGCCUGACGCAGCCAUGCCGCGUGAAUGAUGAAGGUCUUAGGAUUGUAAAAUUCUUUCACCGGGGACGAUAAUGACGGUACCCGGAGAAGAAGCCCCGGCUAACUUCGUG
Molecule: ribosomal RNA, 434 nt
Filed under: uncultured bacterium
Lineage: Bacteria
Description: partial 16S ribosomal RNA
Rfam family: Bacterial small subunit ribosomal RNA
Source: RNAcentral